Molecule: small nucleolar RNA, 102 nt
Organism: Nomascus leucogenys (northern white-cheeked gibbon)
Lineage: Eukaryota; Metazoa; Chordata; Mammalia; Primates; Hylobatidae
Rfam family: Small nucleolar RNA U13
Source: Rfam
AUCUUUUGUGGUUUCUAAGUACGAUGAUUGGGUUUUCACAUGCAUGUGUGAGGUGUGCCACCCUCAAACCUUGUUAUGACAUCAGCACUUACCCAUCUGACA